GACGAACGCUGGCGGCGUGCUUAACACAUGCAAGUCGAACGGAAAGGCCCUGCUUUUGUGGGGUGCUCGAGUGGCGAACGGGUGAGUAACACGUGAGUAACCUGCCCUUGACUUUGGGAUAACUUCAGGAAACUGGGGCUAAUACCGGAUAGGAGCCUCUGCUGCAUGGUGGGGGUUGGAAAGUUUCGGCGGUUGGGGAUGGACUCGCGGCUUAUCAGCUUGUUGGUGGGGUAGUGGCUUACCAAGGCUUUGACGGGUAGCCGGCCUGAGAGGGUGACCGGCCACAUUGGGACUGAGAUACGGCCCAGACUCCUACGGGGGGCAGCAGUGGGGAAUAUUGCACAAUGGGCGGAAGCCUGAUGCAGCAACGCCGCGUGCGGGAUGACGGCCUUCGGGUUGUAAACCGCUUUCGCCUGUGACGAAGCGUGAGUGACGGUAAUGGGUAAAGAAGCACCGGCUAACUACGUG
This 468-nucleotide ribosomal RNA is filed under the name uncultured bacterium. Its description in RNAcentral is "partial 16S ribosomal RNA". It matches the Rfam family "Bacterial small subunit ribosomal RNA", at positions 28 to 507 of the family's 1533-position model. The record is from RNAcentral.